Non-coding RNA from Biomphalaria pfeifferi, 424 nucleotides. Lineage: Eukaryota; Metazoa; Mollusca; Gastropoda; Planorbidae. The record is from the annotation of a GenBank genome assembly.
UUACUUCUUGAUAAUGAAUGAUCAGUCUCUCUCUCAGUGCAAUAGGUUCUUUGCACUAGGUCCCAACCUACAAUGGCUAGUGCUUAUGAAACCAGAAAUGUCUGAGCAUUAUUUUACACUUGCAUUGACUUUGUACUUUUGCCUGUCAGAAUUUAUUUUUUAUGUGUGCUGUUUCAAGUUCAUUGUAAUGUGUUUGAAACAAAAAGUUGUAUUGUUAAUUCAUUGGAAAAUAGACUGAGCUGUGUCUAUAUAUAUUAUAUAUAUAUAUAAAUAAGAAUCCUAUUGUUUACAUAUAUUUAUCACUAUCAAUGUUGUAUUGAAUCUGUCCAGUUGAAAUAAUCAGCUAUGCUUGAAAUUAAACAUUUGAGUACAUAUGUACAUUGGAAUCAUUCAGACAAAAAAAAUAAAAAUGUACAAACUUAAU